AGAGUUUGAUCCUGGCUUAGGAUUAACGCUGGCGGCGUGCCUAAUACAUGCAAGUCGAAUGGUAGUAGCAAUACAAACCAUGGCGAACGGGUGAGUAACACGUAGGUAACCUGUCUUUUAAGACGAGGAUAACCAUUGGAAACGAUGGAUAAUACUGGAUAGGACAUCACAAAGGGCAUCCUUAGAUGUUUAAAGAUUAUUAUGUCACUUAGAGAGGGGCCUGCGGCGCAUUAGCUAGUUGGUGAGGUAAGAGCCCACCAAGGCGAUGAUGCGUAGCCGGACUGAGAGGUUGAACGGCCACAAUGGAACUGAGAACGGUCCAUACUCCUACGGGAGGCAGCAGUAGGGAAUUUUCGGCAAUGGGCGCAAGCCUGAACCCGAGCAACGCCGCGUGAACGAAGAAGUUAUUCGUAAUGUAAAGUUCUUUUAUCUGGGAAGAAAAACAAAUUGACGGUACCAGAUGAAUAAGCUCCGGCUAACUACGUGCCAGCAGCCGC
Molecule: ribosomal RNA, 497 nt
Filed under: uncultured bacterium
Lineage: Bacteria
Description: bacterial SSU rRNA
Rfam family: Bacterial small subunit ribosomal RNA
Source: RNAcentral